Molecule: long non-coding RNA, 336 nt
Organism: Helianthus annuus (common sunflower)
Lineage: Eukaryota; Viridiplantae; Streptophyta; Magnoliopsida; Asterales; Asteraceae
Exons: 4
Source: RefSeq, a predicted model, not a curated record
AGCACAAGCCCAAGUAUACUACGCUAAUGAUCAAUUGGACCAUAUUAUCGAUCCUAUUUUAAGGGAACAAAUAAGCCCACACUCCUUGAGAAAAUUUUCAACAAUCGCAUAUAAAUGUCUGCAGGCUCAAGAAAAGCGUCCUGAGAUGGAUGUUGUUAAGAAAGAGCUUGAAGAAACGCUAGAAAUCGAGGUACUUCAUUGGAGAAGUUUUUUCUCAAGACAUUGGUAUAUUCUUAAUGUUGAAGAUUUAUCUCCAGAAACUCAUAUUGAGCAAAAACGGGCCGAAAGAUUAAAGCGUCUCUCCAUAUCAUAUAUCAUGUGAUCAGGAGGAUAGAA